This 300-nucleotide ribosomal RNA is filed under the name uncultured Couchioplanes sp. Its description in RNAcentral is "bacterial SSU rRNA". It matches the Rfam family "Bacterial small subunit ribosomal RNA", at positions 496 to 795 of the family's 1533-position model. Lineage: Bacteria; Bacillati; Actinomycetota; Actinomycetes; Micromonosporales; Micromonosporaceae. The record is from RNAcentral.
GUUAAGUCGGGGCCAGGAGGCAGGGACAGAUAGAGUGUGCCAACGGUUGUCGGAAUUACUGGGCGUGAAGGGUGUGUAUGUGGCCGCGAAAGUCGGGUGGGAAAGCCCUGGGCUCAACUCAGGAAGUGCGCCCGAUACUGCGUGGCUCGAGUACCGGAGAGGUUGGUGGAAUUCUCGGUGUAGAGGUGAAAUUCGUAGAUAUCGAGAGGAACACCUGUGGCGAAGGCGGCCAACUGGACGAGUACUGACACUGAGACACGAAAGCGUGGGGAGCAAACAGGAUUAGAUACCCGAGUAGUC